AUUGAACGCUAGCGGGAUGCCUUACACAUGCAAGUCGAACGGCAGCACGGACUUCGGUCUGGUGGCGAGUGGCGAACGGGUGAGUAAUGUAUCGGAACGUGCCUAGUAGCGGGGGAUAACUACGCGAAAGCGUAGCUAAUACCGCAUACGCCCUACGGGGGAAAGCAGGGGAUCGCAAGACCUUGCACUAUUAGAGCGGCCGAUAUCGGAUUAGCUAGUUGGUGGGGUAACGGCUCACCAAGGCGACGAUCCGUAGCUGGUUUGAGAGGACGACCAGCCACACUGGGACUGAGACACGGCCCAGACUCCUACGGGAGGCAGCAGUGGGGAAUUUUGGACAAUGGGGGAAACCCUGAUCCAGCCAUCCCGCGUGUGCGAUGAAGGCCUUCGGGUUGUAAAGCACUUUUGGCAGGAAAGAAACGUCAUGGGCUAAUACCCCGUGAAACUGACGGUAC
Molecule: ribosomal RNA, 455 nt
Filed under: bacterium Ellin5118
Lineage: Bacteria; Pseudomonadati; Pseudomonadota; Betaproteobacteria; Burkholderiales; Alcaligenaceae
Also listed under: 1 other name
Description: bacterial SSU rRNA
Rfam family: Bacterial small subunit ribosomal RNA
Source: RNAcentral